Molecule: ribosomal RNA, 500 nt
Filed under: uncultured bacterium
Lineage: Bacteria
Description: bacterial SSU rRNA
Rfam family: Bacterial small subunit ribosomal RNA
Source: RNAcentral
GAUCAUGGCUCAGAUUGAACGCUGGCGGCAUGCCUUACACAUGCAAGUCGAACGGCAGCACGGGUGCUUGCACCUGGUGGCGAGUGGCGAACGGGUGAGUAAUACAUCGGAACGUACCUUAUCGUGGGGGAUAACGUAGCGAAAGUUACGCUAAUACCGCAUACGAUCUAAGGAUGAAAGGGGGGGGAUCGCAAGACCUCUCGCUAUUGGAGCGGCCGAUGUCAGAUUAGGUAGUUGGUGGGGUAAAGGCCUACCAAGCCGACGAUCUGUAGCUGGUCUGAGAGGACGACCAGCCACACUGGGACUGAGACACGGCCCAGACUCCUACGGGAGGCAGCAGUGGGGAAUUUUGGACAAUGGGCGCAAGCCUGAUCCAGCCAUGCCGCGUGCGGGAAGAAGGCCUUCGGGUUGUAAACCGCUUUUGUACGGAGCGAAAAGGCCCUCUCUAAUACAGGGGGUUCAUGACGGUACCGUAAGAAUAAGCACCGGCUAACUACGUG